This 769-nucleotide ribosomal RNA is filed under the name uncultured bacterium. RNAcentral describes it as "bacterial SSU rRNA". It matches the Rfam family "Bacterial small subunit ribosomal RNA", at positions 28 to 776 of the family's 1533-position model. The record is from RNAcentral.
AUUGAACGCUGGCGGCAGGCCUAACACAUGCAAGUCGAGCGGAAACGAGUUAACUGAACCUUCGGGGAACGUUAACGGCGUCGAGCGGCGGACGGGUGAGUAAUGCCUGGGAAAUUGCCCUGAUGUGGGGGAUAACCAUUGGAAACGAUGGCUAAUACCGCAUAAUAGCUUCGGCUCAAAGAGGGGGACCUUCGGGCCUCUCGCGUCAGGAUAUGCCCAGGUGGGAUUAGCUAGUUGGUGAGGUAAGGGCUCACCAAGGCGACGAUCCCUAGCUGGUCUGAGAGGAUGAUCAGCCACACUGGAACUGAGACACGGUCCAGACUCCUACGGGAGGCAGCAGUGGGGAAUAUUGCACAAUGGGCGCAAGCCUGAUGCAGCCAUGCCGCGUGUAUGAAGAAGGCCUUCGGGUUGUAAAGUACUUUCAGCAGUGAGGAAGGUGGUAGUGUUAAUAGCACUAUCAUUUGACGUUAGCUGCAGAAGAAGCACCGGCUAACUCCGUGCCAGCAGCCGCGGUAAUACGGAGGGUGCGAGCGUUAAUCGGAAUUACUGGGCGUAAAGCGCAUGCAGGUGGUUUGUUAAGUCAGAUGUGAAAGCCCGGGGCUCAACCUCGGAAUUGCAUUUGAAACUGGCAGACUAGAGUACUGUAGAGGGGGGUAGAAUUUCAGGUGUAGCGGUGAAAUGCGUAGAGAUCUGAAGGAAUACCGGUGGCGAAGGCGGCCCCCUGGACAGAUACUGACACUCAGAUGCGAAAGCGUGGGGAGCAAACAGG